CAAUAGCGUCUAUUAAAGUUGUUGCAGUUAAAAAGCUCGUAGUUGAAUUUCUGUCAGGAGUGACCGGGCCUUUGGAUGAACUUCCAUUGUUUUUUGCUCUGUUUGUCAUCUCUAGACAUCCUGAAAUAUUUUUUAAAAAUAUUUCUCUUUUACUGUUAGCAAAAUAGAGUGUUCCAAGCAAAGCGUAGUUUUGAAUACAUUAGAAUGGAAUAAUAAGAUAGGACUUUGGUGCUAUUUUGUUGGUUUGCACACCAAGGUAAUGAUUAAUAGGGACAGUUGGGGGUAUUCGUAUUUAAUUGUCAGAGGUGAAAUUCUUGGAUUUAUGAAAGACGAACUACUGCGAAAGCAUUUACCAAGGAUGUUUUCAUUAA
This 371-nucleotide ribosomal RNA is filed under the name uncultured eukaryote. RNAcentral describes it as "partial 18S ribosomal RNA". It matches the Rfam family "Eukaryotic small subunit ribosomal RNA", at positions 592 to 976 of the family's 1831-position model. The record is from RNAcentral.